CCACCUCUUCCCAUUCCGAACAGAGAAGUUAAACCUUAUCACGCCGAUGGUACUGCGAAAGCGGGAGAGUAGGUAAUCGCCACCU
Molecule: ribosomal RNA, 85 nt
Filed under: Bacteroides sp.
Lineage: Bacteria; Pseudomonadati; Bacteroidota; Bacteroidia; Bacteroidales; Bacteroidaceae
Source: RNAcentral